AUUUAGACAGAUGAAAAGAAAUACCCUAAGCAUUUCAAGACAAAAAAGAGUUGUACAACAUUUUCAAUGUUUACAUGUAAACAACAACUACAUGUUCAAGGUAACUAUCAAAAAUUGAUUGAAAAACAAAAUCAUGUAGUUUUCUCUUCAUAACUUGUGAAGGAAGAAAAUUAUAAAUAUUGAACUCUAUGGAACCAACUAGCAAUCUUUUUAUUUACGAUGACUAUCGAUAUCGGACAUUAUCUUAGGCAAUUUGUUCUUCUUCUGUUGAUAUUUAGCUAAUGAAUACCACACCCCACCAGCUGUGUUGAUCACUAAACCAGUGACAUUCAAAGCAUGUACCUCUACUCCUCCCAACAGGACAAAACCAAGUGUCGUAGAUCCAACUCCUUUGAGGACUCCGACAAUUGUGGUAGUUAAAGCCGAGUUAACGAUGGUGCACAAGAACAUCGUAUAGUUCAAGA
This 464-nucleotide unclassified non-coding RNA is filed under the name Hevea brasiliensis (rubber tree). Lineage: Eukaryota; Viridiplantae; Streptophyta; Magnoliopsida; Malpighiales; Euphorbiaceae. The record is from RNAcentral.